This 1198-nucleotide long non-coding RNA is filed under the name Nicotiana benthamiana. RNAcentral's name for it is "long non-coding RNA (NBEN_LNC023599)". Lineage: Eukaryota; Viridiplantae; Streptophyta; Magnoliopsida; Solanales; Solanaceae. The record is from RNAcentral.
CCAUGUCUAUUCUCCCACUCUCUCUCUACUUCCAUGUCUUCUCCUUUGCCGGACCUUUCUGCUGUAAAAUAAUAUAAAAAUUUGUCAGCUUUCUGCAAUUUUAUUCGGCUUGCCUGCAUUUUUGUCUUGAUUAUAUUCUCUGUCUCCAGUUUAAUAUUGCUCGUUGCAACUUUGGGUUAAGAUAUUUGGCCAAAGGAGAAUCCAUUGGUUUGCAGAAUGUUAAGAUUGUCAUCUCUUUAACAUACUUGAAGAAUCAUUUAGAAUGCUGCUUUGACAAGCUUUUUAAACUUUCAGAAUUUCUGUUAAAGAAUGCAAAGGUUUUGGAGAAGUCUCCGUUAUUUAGCCGGUAAUUACGGGUCGGCAACUGGAGGCAACGAUGACGGCGAGCAGAACUGAAUAUUGAUGCUGCUUCAACGAGAUAACAUUAGGGCUGUUCUUGAACAAAGACGACGUUGGGGGCUAAGUAACUUGAGUUUUCUGUUAAUAUAUUUCAAGUAUUUCAAUGUAUCUCGUAAUAUUUCGUGUUGAAUUGUUCCACAUAGGAGGGAUUUGAGGUCCUUGGUCUCCUUAUAUGGCUUGGGCAAUCCUCACCUCAUACACAUCGGAGGGAUUUGAGGUCCUUGGUCUCCUUAUAUGACUUGGCAAUCCUCACCUCAUAAGCUAGCUUUUAGGGUUGAGUUAGGCUCAAGGUCCAUUCUUAUCAUGUUAUCUAGAGCCAGGUCAUCCCAAUUAUUGUUACCGAUGUUGGGCCCCCAUUUAUGUUGUCCACGCUCCAAAGAUCUGAUUAAGCAGGACAACAUCGAGUUCUAAUCAUUCAAAUAAACUUUUUCUACGAUCCGUCCUAAUCAAAGGUUUAAUCCCUCUAAAGGUAUUGUUACAUUGAUGUUGAGUUGUCCCACAUCGGAGGGAUUUGAGGUCCUUGGUCUCCUUAUAUGGCUUGGGCGAUCCUCACCUCAUAAGCUAGCUUUUGGGGUUGAGUUAGGCCCAAUUUCCAUUCUUAUCAUUUUGUUGCAUUCAUUGUCUUUUGUUCAUUGUAUUUCAAUGUAUCUCGCUGUAUUCCAUGUAUUUCACUGUAUUCAUUGUCUUUUUUUUAAUUGUAUUUCAUUGUAUCCCGCUGUAUUCUAUAUAUUUCAUUGUAUUCACUGCCUCGCUAUAUCCUAUGAAUAUAUUCAUAUUUUUUUUAAUUAAUAUAAUUUAU